This 485-nucleotide ribosomal RNA is filed under the name uncultured bacterium. RNAcentral describes it as "partial 16S ribosomal RNA". It matches the Rfam family "Bacterial small subunit ribosomal RNA", at positions 28 to 523 of the family's 1533-position model. The record is from RNAcentral.
GACGAACGCUGGCGGCGUGCUUAACACAUGCAAGUCGAACGGUGAAAGCGGAGCUUGCUCCGCUGGAUCAGUGGCGAACGGGUGAGUAACACGUGGGCAACCUGCCCCUCACUUCGGGAUAACUCCGGGAAACCGGGGCUAAUACCGGAUAUGACCUCCUUGGGCAUCCUUGGAGGUGGAAAGUUUUUCGGUGAGGGAUGGGCCCGCGGCCUAUCAGCUUGUUGGUGGGGUAGUGGCUCCCCAAGGCGACGACGGGUAGCCGGCCUGAGAGGGCGACCGGGCACACUGGGCCUGGGGCACGGCCCAGACUCCUACGGGAGGCAGCAGUGGGGAAUAUUGCGCAAUGGGCGAAAGCCUGACGCAGCAGCGCCGCGUGCGGGAUGACGGCCUUCGGGUUGUAAACCGCUUUCAGCAGGGAAGAAGCCGCAAGGUGACGGUACCUGCAGAAGAAGCACCGGCUAACUACGUGCCAGCCGCCGCAGUAA